GCUGCUGUAGCUCAGGGGUAGAGCACUUCCUUGGUAAGGAAGAGGCCAUGAGUUCAAAUCUCAUCAGCAGCU
Molecule: transfer RNA, 72 nt
Filed under: Prevotellaceae bacterium
Lineage: Bacteria; Pseudomonadati; Bacteroidota; Bacteroidia; Bacteroidales; Prevotellaceae
Description: tRNA-Thr
Rfam family: tRNA
About the family: Transfer RNA (tRNA) molecules are approximately 80 nucleotides in length. Their secondary structure includes four short double-helical elements and three loops (D, anti-codon, and T loops).
Source: RNAcentral